Molecule: ribosomal RNA, 484 nt
Filed under: uncultured bacterium
Lineage: Bacteria
Description: partial 16S ribosomal RNA
Rfam family: Bacterial small subunit ribosomal RNA
Source: RNAcentral
AUUGAACGCUGGCGGCAGGCCUAACACAUGCAAGUCGAGCGGAUGAACGGUGCUUGUUCCUGGAUCCCGCGGCGGACGGGUGUGUAAUGCCCAGGAAUCUGCCUGCUAGUGCGGGAUAACGUCCGGAAACGAGCGCUAAUACCGCAUCCGACCUGCUCGAGCAACUGGGGGAUCUUUGGACAUCUUCCUCUCUGAUGAGCCUACGUCGGAUUAGCUAGCUGGUGGGGUAAAUGCCUACCAAGGCGACGAUCCGUAACUGGUCUGAGAGGAUGAUCCGUCACACUGGAACUGAGACACGGUCCAGACUCCUACGGGAGGCAGCAGUGGGGAAUAUUGGGCAAUGGGCGAAAGCCUGAUCCAGCCAUGCCGCGUGUGUGAAGAAGGUCUUCGGAGUGUAAAGCACGUUAAGUUGGGAGGAAGAGCAGUAAGUUAAGACCUUGCUGUUUUGACGUUACCAACAGAAUAAGCACCGGCUAACUACGUG